This 473-nucleotide ribosomal RNA is filed under the name uncultured Magnetococcus sp. RNAcentral describes it as "bacterial SSU rRNA". It matches the Rfam family "Bacterial small subunit ribosomal RNA", at positions 79 to 587 of the family's 1533-position model. Lineage: Bacteria; Pseudomonadati; Pseudomonadota; Magnetococcia; Magnetococcales; Magnetococcaceae. The record is from RNAcentral.
UUCGGGAUGAUGGCGAGUGGCGAACGGGUGCGUAACACGUGGAAACUUAUCCAGAGGCGGGGGACAACAGCUGGAAACGGCUGCUAAUACCGCAUAAUCCCUACGGGGCAAAGAUUCAUCACCUUUGGAGAGGUCCGCGUCGGAUUAGCUAGUUGGUGGGGUAACGGCUCACCAAGGCGACGAUCCGUAGCUGGUCUUAGAGGACGAUCAGCCACACUGGGACUGAGACACGGCCCAGACUCCUACGGGAGGCAGCAGUGGGGAAUAUUGCGCAAUGGGGGCAACCCUGACGCAGCGAUGCCGCGUGAGUGAAGAAGGCCUUCGGGUUGUAAAGCUCUUUCAGUGGGGACGAUUGUGACGGUACCCACAGAAGAAGCUCCGGCUAACUCCGUGCCAGCAGCCGCGGUAAUACGGAGGGGGCGAGCGUUGUUCGGAAUUACUGGGCGUAAAGGGCGCGUAGGCGGUUUGACAAG